This 301-nucleotide ribosomal RNA is filed under the name uncultured bacterium. RNAcentral describes it as "partial 16S ribosomal RNA". It matches the Rfam family "Bacterial small subunit ribosomal RNA", at positions 508 to 808 of the family's 1533-position model. The record is from RNAcentral.
GCAGUAGCCGCGGGAAAACAGAGGGUGCGAGCGUUAAUCGGAUUUACUGGGCGUAAAGCGUGCGUAGGCGGCUUCUUAAGUCGGAUGUGAAAUCCCUGAGCUUAACUUAGGAAUUGCAUUCGAUACUGGGAAGCUAGAGUAUGGGAGAGGAUGGUAGAAUUCCAGGUGUAGCGGUGAAAUGCGUAGAGAUCUGGAGGAAUACCGAUGGCGAAGGCAGCCAUCUGGCCUAAUACUGACGCUGAGGUACGAAAGCAUGGGGAGCAAACAGGAUUAGAUACCCCAGUAGUCCCUGUCUCUUAUU